Cynoglossus semilaevis (tongue sole) is the source of this 665-nucleotide long non-coding RNA. RefSeq lists it as uncharacterized. Lineage: Eukaryota; Metazoa; Chordata; Actinopteri; Pleuronectiformes; Cynoglossidae. The record is from RefSeq and is a predicted model, not a curated record. The transcript is spliced from 3 exons.
ACACGAAAUGACAAAUUAACGGUGAUAACAACAGUUUGAUUAUUUAAGUACAAAGUACUGCUGUAUUUUGGUCUUAUUAUGGAAACAAAUGUAGCGUAUUACACGUUGUAACUCAUGCGCCGUGAGAGAUCGUUAGGUGUGACACGGGAAAGUAUCCAACUUAAUUACAUUGUUUUCUGAACUAUAUGUCUUUGCUCUUGUGACAGGUAAAGUAAUGAAAUGCUUUUCCGCUAGGUGGCAGCAGAUGGUUAUAACAACUAAAAGAGGCGUGAGACAGCCGUUCCUAUCAGCGUUGUGUUCAGCUGAACAGGCCCAAGUUUCAUGAAGAGUUUCACUCUUAAGGAACUUGCUCCUGUAGAUCACCUGACCUGAAACAACAUGUCAGUAAACCAAUGCAGUAGAUCCAAACGUCCGUGGACAGAUCUUUCUGAAAAAACCCAGAUCUGACCAUCUGUGAAGGUGAAGCUGUGGAUCAGUGACAUCCCAUCAAACCAGUGAUUGUAUUUGGAGUUUCCAACAGAGAAGAGCCCCGGUCCGUUCCGCAGCAGAGUUCCCUUUAGCCAUGGUGGGAUGGAGCCUGUGGGAUGCAGCACAAACACCAACACACAGCAUCCUUCAUGAUGUCCUCAGUGAUAUGGACAACGAUGUCACCCAUCUCCUAAAGG